This 468-nucleotide ribosomal RNA is filed under the name uncultured bacterium. RNAcentral's name for it is "partial 16S ribosomal RNA". It matches the Rfam family "Bacterial small subunit ribosomal RNA", at positions 28 to 507 of the family's 1533-position model. The record is from RNAcentral.
GACGAACGCUGGCGGCGUGCCUAACACAUGCAAGUCGAACGGAAAGGCCCUGCUUUUGUGGGGUGCUCGAGUGGCGAACGGGUGAGUAACACGUGAGUAACCUGCCCUUGACUUUGGGAUAACUUCAGGAAACUGGGGCUAAUACCGGAUAGGAGCUCCUGCUGCAUGGUGGGGGUUGGAAAGUUUCGGCGGUUGGGGAUGGACUCGCGGCUUAUCAGCUUGUUGGUGGGGUAGUGGCUUACCAAGGCUUUGACGGGUAGCCGGCCUGAGAGGGUGACCGGCCACAUUGGGACUGAGAUACGGCCCAGACUCCUACGGGAGGCAGAAGUGGGGAAUAUUGCACAAUGGGCGGAAGCCUGAUGCAGCAACGCCGCGUGCGGGAUGACGGCCUUCGGGUUGUAAACCGCUUUCGCCUGUGACGAAGCGUGAGUGACGGUAAUGGGUAAAGAAGCACCGGCUAACUACGUG